Punica granatum (pomegranate) is the source of this 805-nucleotide non-coding RNA. NCBI's taxonomy places the organism in Eukaryota, Viridiplantae, Streptophyta, Magnoliopsida, Myrtales, Lythraceae. The record is from RefSeq and is a predicted model, not a curated record.
UUUUGUUUUUUUUUCCUUCCUUCUGCUGAGCUGAAAAAGAUCGGGAUCACUCCCUCCCUCUGUCUCUCUCUUUCAAUUCUCCUUUGCUUGGCGAGCCUCGCCAAUCGCCAUGGACGCUAGCAAGCUUCUGUCCGGUUCAACGGUAGUGUUUCGCAGUCACUCCCUCAAGUUUGUUAAGUUGCUAGCUCCAGCUCCGGUUUCUUGACACCUCCUUCUUUGAAGACGUCGUCCUCGUUCACAGCGACUUCGUCUUUGACCCUGCCCGGGAGAAAACCUCCAGUGCCUGUCGUGCGGCGGAGGUUAGCGCUGAAAUGCGGCGCUGUUGCUGGAGGUAUAACCGAAAUCGAUGAGAGCCAGUUCGCUGAUACGGUGUUGAAAAGCAACCGGCCUGUGCUGGUGGAGUUCGUGGCCGACUAGUGUGGUCCUUGCCGCUUAAUCUCUCCCGCUAUUGAGUGGGUGGCUCAGGAAAUCGAGGAUUCUGAAGGUUCAAUCCAGUGAGCUAUCUUUCUGGAAGUUGUCGAUAAGCUUCCGAUUGCGCGGAGGAACCACUUUUUGAUAUCGGGGAUUAGCUUGGAGGACUAGGUAGGAACCUUAGUUAUUUAAUAGAUAUCCUUUCUGUAUAGAAUGGACUUUAGAAUGUUACGACCUGAAGAUUUUGUUUAGUUGUAUCAAUGAUGUGAGAGCGAAAAAGAAAUCUCCGGAAAAGUGUAUAUACCUAUUAGAGUUGAUGGAUUGGUUAUAUACUUUGGAAAUUUAUGAGAAGUAAGUUUUUAUGUGAUAAUGGAUUCGAUGAAAUUUAGGAAAA